This is a long non-coding RNA of Acanthaster planci (crown-of-thorns starfish), 2033 nucleotides long. RefSeq lists it as uncharacterized. NCBI's taxonomy places the organism in Eukaryota, Metazoa, Echinodermata, Asteroidea, Valvatida, Acanthasteridae. The record is from RefSeq and is a predicted model, not a curated record.
UGUCAUUCACAGCCGGGCCCUACAGGAGCGACUGGCAUUUCCUGCAAGGAGAAGUGGAAAAAAGUAGACCAAGGUUUCGUCGUGAAUCGAAGGCUUAUUGUCUGGGGCUUUUGGACCAUCUUCUGCGGUUGUGCUGCUUAUUUGUGUACGGUGAAGUGCAUUAUCCAUCUCUGAUUACCGCGGUGUCUACAAGCUUAAGGAGACAAUUUGUUCCUACUUGACAAGAUUUAAGCCAGUGCCGCAGAAAGUCAUGUCGACUAAAACGUUCAUGCUGGUGGUGUGCUUGGCGUACACGUUGCUGCUUGUAACAGCUCUUCCGUUGGACUACCCAUCAGACGAGAACAACGCCUUCUUACGGAGACUACGUUCUAAUAAGAGUCCCUACUGUACGUACGGCGGGCUUACGUGCAUUUGUGACAAGAAUAACAAACCGAAAAGCUGUGGGCUUGUUUACUACGACCCAAGGUGGAACAUUUAAUGUCACUAUCUUCAGCGGGGAAUGGUGCAGCGUACAUUGGUCAAUCAGGGACACCAAUUUCUACUCUUCGCCCUUUCGUUCGACUUCGUUUAGGGGGUACAAGGAAAGUCUUGAUGGUAAAAAGAGUUUGACGACAUAACAUUUGAGAAAAUAUACGACGAUGUAUAUGGAACACUCCUUUGUCGCAGAAGAGCAAUCCAGGGUCUGUCCUCUCACCUUCUGAAAAAAAAAAUCUGUAAAAGUUAGUCAUCCUAACUUUAGACUGUUGUACGGUAAAUCAGAUGGGGCAACACAUAACGAACGGACACGUUUUUAAUUCCUUCCGUUCCUGCGCAGGGGUGACUGCUCUGUCUCCCUCUCUCAUUUAAGAUGAAGCUACUUGGAGUAUGAUCCGCUCAACAGUAAUGAACAACUAAUGUAUGAAGCACGCUCCCAUUUCCAAAGAUUAUAAGGACCAGACGAUCUGUAGUAAAAUUCACCUCGACUUUAGAGUGAAAACGUACGAAGAGGAACUAUUUUAUCUGAAUUUCUGUGGCCACUAAUUUGGGUCAGAUUAGGUGCAUUUUCACUGACACAGAAUAAGUCUCUAAUCUAUGAAAUCCGGAGCGCAGGUACAUUGUUAACAUGAAGAUACGACAGCACAAAUAGUGGAUACGACCGCCUCGACCCCCGCUGUGUAUCUAUACCUGCAAAUUAUGUGCCAUUCCGGAAACAAAUCUGCACUGACACCCCCCCCCUGAGCAUGCUGUCUAGUCCAAUGUUCAUUGCUAAUUGGAAAAGGAUGUGAUUACAACAGUGCACGGUUUUUCCAUUAUUAUCAAAACUCAGGUGUGCCGGUACAGUAUCAAAUGGAAUAAAUUAAUCAAACAGAUCCUUGAAGAUUUCAGAACUGCGGUGUUAAUAGUAUAUAUCUCCGAUCAAUCCUGUCCUUGUGAAUCUGCAAGCCUAAAUAAACUAACAAGUUUGUCAUGUGCUUUCCCCUAAACUCCCCCUCAGCAAGUCAUUAGUUCGUUAGAAAACUGCUUAGAGAUGUAUUUUAUUUGUGCAUUUUAUUUGUGUAUUAAAGCUACAUGUAUUUAUGUUUAGUGUUCCACCGUCAACAAAGUUUUAAAACUCCGCCAACUUCUGAAACACAUGAAAACAUUUUUCCAUCUGGGCACCGAACCAUUUUAUUAACCUAAAGCCAUUAAUGUAUAUAAGGCCUCAUGUUUAAAUGUAAUUUAUUACCAAGUAUCUGGAAAUCCAUUUGUAUUGUGCAGCAAUUACCGGUUUAAUAACAAAAGCUUUUUUUUCAAUGGAAAUCACAGAAUUCGAAUUCUGGUAACAAUCACAUAUGUUGGGUGCUUAAUUUGAAUCAACAGGUUUAUGUACGUCUGUGCUAAAGGUAUUUAAUUAAACAUUAAAAGAAAAUUUCACCCUGAAAUGUGUACAUUCCCCAUUUAUUUGUUAUAUAUCAUUAAUGAUUCGUUUCAAGAUGUGCUACUCACAGAUAGGAAGUGUCAACUGACCAAGGUUCAUGACGUCUAAAUAAAAUCAGUAUCUUGGUGAUAGUGUU